GCAAGUGUAGCUCAGUUGGUAGAGCACUCGACUGAUACUCGAGCGGUCGUAGGUUCGAAUCCUACCACUUGCACCA
RNAcentral lists this transfer RNA (76 nucleotides) under bacterium. Its description in RNAcentral is "tRNA-Ile". It matches the Rfam family "tRNA". From Rfam's summary of the family: Transfer RNA (tRNA) molecules are approximately 80 nucleotides in length. Their secondary structure includes four short double-helical elements and three loops (D, anti-codon, and T loops). The record is from RNAcentral. RNAcentral also lists the same sequence under 3 other names.